UACAGAGGUGGCAAGCGUUGUUCGGAAUUACUGGGCGUAAAGGGCGCGUAGGCGGCCUUCUAAGUCAGACGUGAAAUCCCCCGGCUUAACCUGGGAACUGCGUCUGAUACUGGGAGGCUUGAGUAUGGGAGAGGGAUGUAGAAUUCCAGGUGUAGCGGUGAAAUGCGUAGAUAUCGGGAGGAACACCAGUGGCGAAGGCGGCUACCCGGACCAGCACUGACACUGAGGCACGAAAGCGUGGGGAGCAAACAGG
Molecule: ribosomal RNA, 253 nt
Filed under: uncultured bacterium
Lineage: Bacteria
Description: partial 16S ribosomal RNA
Rfam family: Bacterial small subunit ribosomal RNA
Source: RNAcentral